UUUGUAGUGAACCUUUCUUCCCAGGUCCCAGUGUACUCCUGAAGGUUGCCCAGACACUCAGACGAUAGCUAUCCAUCUCGGAGUCGCGUCGGGAUGUGCUCUUAUUGUAUACGGCAUUUAUUAUAUCAUUACCAAGAUAAUAUCUUAGAGUUAGUGGUGUAACUAAUGGAUACAAUAAGUAAGUUGAUAAGCAACCUGUGUGGCAUGGUGAUGAAGAUCUUGGAGGGAGUGAUUCGAGCUGAGAUAGAGAUUCUGUAUAACGCGUCCAUCACUAUAUUUCUAGUUACUACAUGCUUCAUUUCGGGAUAUUUUUCUUUAAGGUUUGGUUCGUGUAGUGCAACAAAGACUUGUCCAACUAGCCGUGUCGUCGUCGCGAACAUCUUCGGCGUGGCCGCACUGCUACUGUUUGCUUACGUCAUAUAUCGCACCUUUAUUAAAAAACCUCCAGUUAAUAACAACAGAAGAAGAUAACGAAGACUAUUUCAUAUAAUCUUAUUAUGAUAAUUGUAUAUUAAGAAGGUUCUCGAUGUAUUUUAUGUUAAUUUAUUCCAUAAAGAGAUGUUGAAGUCAUAUUGUUGUAAUA
Long non-coding RNA from Pectinophora gossypiella (pink bollworm), 583 nucleotides. RefSeq lists it as uncharacterized. The record is from RefSeq and is a predicted model, not a curated record. Lineage: Eukaryota; Metazoa; Arthropoda; Insecta; Lepidoptera; Gelechiidae. The transcript is spliced from 3 exons.